Molecule: long non-coding RNA, 681 nt
Organism: Triplophysa dalaica
Lineage: Eukaryota; Metazoa; Chordata; Actinopteri; Cypriniformes; Nemacheilidae
Exons: 4
Source: RefSeq, a predicted model, not a curated record
CUUUAACUGAGAUUAGCAGGAAUCUCAUCCAGUCUCGGUGAGGUCUAGAGAGGCUGCGUAUGGACAUAUUUCACAGCGUGAAUAUUUGACAAGUUCAGGUCUCGUGAGAUGCUCCCACCUACAGAGAGCGGUUUGUCAACAAGCAUUCCAUGUCAGCCGCCUAAUACCAACUCAACCAGAUCAACACUGGACUGACACCCCUGCCAGACAGAAAUGAAUCCCUCUCCAUCUUGCUUUCUUUUCAAAUCCAUUUAACGUCAACCCGGCCACCGCACAGCCCCGCCGCCGUCUUCCUAACAGGGGGAGGUGUUUCAAUUCAUCAUCGGAGCCGGCACACUUCACCCCCGAGCCUCACCGGGAAAGAGGGUUUGUGAUAACUGAAUGGCAGGCGUCCCGUCUUUAUCAGGUACCUGCGAGCGGCGUCGGUGGGCCGUCAACCCUUGAUGAGGUAGAGAGGCACCGAAAGCCAUCCGAUUCGACAGCUUUUCCCUUAAGACAUGUUUCCGUGCAAAGAUGGUGAAGGAAGGGCUGCUGAGAGACUAUUGUUCCCCCGGCCUCAGAGAACCGGGUUUGAAAUAAACUCCAUCACACAAAACCACAAACCCAGCACCGCCUCCACGCACAUGCAAUAUCAGCCCCAAAGCAAAAUUUCACCCACCAAACUUUCCAUCUAAACCAAUG